UAUCAUCAAUAAGCGGAGGAAAAGAAACCAACAGGGAUUCCCCUAGUAACGGCGAGUGAAGCGGGAACAGCUCAAAUUUGAAAUCUGGCCCUUGGGUCCGAGUUGUAAUUUGCAGAGGAUGCUUUUGGUGCGGUGCCUUCCGAGUUCCCUGGAACGGGACGCCUUAGAGGGUGAGAGCCCCGUACGGUUGGCCACCAAGCCUGUGUAAAGCUCCUUCGACGAGUCGAGUAGUUUGGGAAUGCUGCUCAAAAUGGGAGGUAUAUUUCUUCUAAAGCUAAAUACUGGCCAGAGACCGAUAGCGCACAAGUAGAGUGAUCGAAAGAUGAAAAGCACUUUGAAAAGAGGGUUAAAUAGCACGUGAAAUUGUUGAAAGGGAAGGAUUUAUGACCAGACUUUUUCUGGGGGGAUCAUCCGGUGUUCUCACCGGUGCACUUCCCCCAGUGGAGGCCAGCAUCGGUUUCUGCCGGGGGAUAAAAGCUUCGGGAAUGUGGCUCCUUCGGGAGUGUUAUAGCCCGUUGCAUAAUACCCUGGCGGGGACCGAGGUUCGCGCAUUGCAAGGAUGCUGGCGUAAUGGUUAUUAAUCACCCGUCUUGAAACACGGACCAAGGAGUCGAACAUUUGUGCGAGUGUUUGGGUGUUAAACCCUCACGCGUAAUGAAAGUGAACGGAGGUGAGAGCCCCUCGGGGUGCAUCAUCGACCGAUCCUGAUGUCUUCGGAUGGAUUUGAGUAAGAGCAUAACUGUUCGGACCCGAAAGAUGGUGAACUAUGCGUGGAUAGGGUGAAGCCAGAGGAAACUCUGGUGGAGGCUCGCAGCGGUUCUGACGUGCAAAUCGAUCGUCAAAUCUGCGCAUGGGGGCGAAAGACUAAUCGAACCAUCUAGUAGCUGGUUACGCAAGUUUUUCUCCC
RNAcentral lists this ribosomal RNA (907 nucleotides) under Apiospora sp. RNAcentral describes it as "partial large subunit ribosomal RNA". It matches the Rfam family "Eukaryotic large subunit ribosomal RNA", at positions 39 to 976 of the family's 3401-position model. Lineage: Eukaryota; Fungi; Ascomycota; Sordariomycetes; Amphisphaeriales; Apiosporaceae. The record is from RNAcentral.